This 28-nucleotide non-coding RNA is filed under the name Homo sapiens (human). The record is from RNAcentral. Lineage: Eukaryota; Metazoa; Chordata; Mammalia; Primates; Hominidae.
UGCUGAGAAGUGACCAGAAGGCAGGAGU